CCAAGCCAAUCCCCUUCUGAGACCAUUCCUACCUUCCAGGUCAGCAGGCUUCCCAGAAGGCCUAUGAAUGAGUCACCGUGUCCUGCUGUGGGGUUAUCUUAGCCCUUAGAGCCCAGGGGAUCUGGGAGGUUUACAGGCUUGUACAGCCCUGGCCACAGCGAUUGGUUCUGGGAUGAGCACGUGACCCAAGACAGGCCAAUUAGAGUCACCCUUGCAACUUAGGCUGAAAGGAUUGGGCAAGAGGCACGCCCUUGGUGGUCAUCCAAGCUGCAAAGUGGAGCUGCUCUGCCUGAGAACGACGCUAACACAGAAGAAAAUAAGAAAAGCAGAGAGAGACACUUUCUGAUGCCAUUACUGAACCCCUCCUCUGGCGAUGCCAAAAGUCAGAUGCACCCCUGAUCCUCCCAAUUGUGCGGGCAGAUAAAUGAUUUCAUGCUCUGAA
Molecule: long non-coding RNA, 442 nt
Organism: Suricata suricatta (meerkat)
Lineage: Eukaryota; Metazoa; Chordata; Mammalia; Carnivora; Herpestidae
Exons: 2
Source: RefSeq, a predicted model, not a curated record